GUGUGCGCCUGCCUGCCUGCCACUGACGCCGGGGUUUGCAGUGAAGACUUUCUGAUGAAGAGGAGAAUGAAGACUGACAAACUGGGCUGAGGCACAAUGUUGAGAAACAGUUUCCACCACAGGACUAUCGACUUGGUUUCCACCACAUUCACCUAUCCUGACAAGUGGCGGGGAAACCACCCCAGCACAGCUCAUCUGUUGAGAUGUUGCUGAGUCAGUUUGGGGUCAUGACAUCAUCAUCAUGAGAUGGGGAGCCUGGUGAACAGUGACCGCAGGCGGCGACAGAAGAGGUGGUGCUGUGUGUUGCGUUUUGCAGCUGCUGGUAGUUGGCAAAAAAAAAAAAAAAAAAAAUUGUCAACUCCCUUUUUUUUUUUCUUGGCAAAAAAAACCCCCCAAAAAACAAUCUGUCAACUCCACAGAAUUUUUUUCUUUGCCAAGAACCUCAGGGAAUCCUUUGCUCCAGUGUUGAAUGGAAGAACAAAUUCUCAAGAGAUUUGAAGAGGCAUGGAAGAGCUACAAACUGGCCUGAUUGGACUCAUUUCAGUGACUCUGUAGCAAGUGGAGCUGAAAGGAUCAAGUCCAGCUGUGAUACAUGUGUGUGAAUAAAUGUGAAAAAAAGAAUGGAUAGUAUUUAAAAACUUCAAAUCUUUAACGAUCAUUAAACUUGUUCGAAAAUAUUUAAAUAAUUUGAGGAAAAUUAGAUUCUAAUAAUAGGAUCCCCAACAAAAAUAAUUAAAACAUAAAGCAUGUUAACUACAUCCCCAGGUAUCAUACCUUUCAUAUAAGCCGUAAUAAAAAUGUAAUUAAUUAAUUAUAUUUGAAGAGUUGUGACUGGGUUUCAUAUGAUCACUAAACCGCUGGCUGAGUGAGACUGGUGACUAACUCUGCAAUGUUUUAAAACUAUCACCAGGUCAUAAUUUAUGGGUUGAGUGAGUUUCAUGACCCUCAGGCUGUUGUCACACAUUAAAACCGCAUUGUUAAAUUUCAAACAUAGUCAGUGUAAACAUGCAUCAUUCCUGAAAAAUUUACUUUGCCCAAGCAUAUUUUCCCUUCGGAAUUGUGAAUUUCUCUUUGUCCUGCAAUGAACCAAUUUUUCUGUCUAACAAAAAAAACAAAAAAAAACAAAACAGGUUUUGAGCCUGAAAAAAGAGAAGUUUUGUGAAAUUUGUCUUCUAGCACUCUGUAAGCAGGAACAGUUAAUGAUUUUAACAGGGUGAGAGAACCAGCAUGAAAUACUGCAGUGGUCACUGAGAACAUGUCCACACUAAUGCAAAUCUGUAAACAGCUUCUUUCAUUUCAUCAAGCACAGAGAACUGCACUUGUCAAAAGUCCUGACCUGUGGUGUCACAUUUUAUGGUCAGAUGAUCCAUUUUAGAGACUUGCUGUUCUGUAAACGACACAAAUCUCCAAUAUGAUCAGCAAACUAUUUUUUAGGAAACAAUUGUGUGUGUGGAUAAGACACACUUGGCACACUGAUGUCAUUUUCAUGACUUAAUCUGCAUUAGUGUGAUCAUGACCUGAGACAGAAAGGAAGGGGAAAACAGGUGAACUCAUGUGAACACGUGUCCAUAAUCUAUAAUACAUACAUUGUAUUUAACAGAUAUCUGAAAUGUGACAAGGGGCACCAACCUAACUGCUUUUUUGUCACAACCCACAGACAUUGGUUUGCACUGUAUUUUCUAACCUUAUCAUUUUUUUUUUUAUGUAAAAUCUUAACAUGAAAGAAACUACAAGGUGUUGGUUAGAGCCCCUUGUCAACUUCGAGGUGUGUACAGUUGACGUUUAUUGGGAGGGGGACUUCAAGUGACCCAUGUGGGAACAGUCUUGCCAGUGGCCUCCAGGUAAUUUAAAGGCCCCUGAUUUAGGAGCGUGUCUGUGUUUCUUUUUAAGAUAGAUAGAUAUUUUGCUGUUCUCACAGCAGCUUGUAGACAGCCUCAAGAAAGCAGAGAGAUCGAGGGUGAGAGAAAAAGAUGCUGAACCAAAACAAGGAAGGCAGUCAGACUGUGUGUGUGUGUGUGUGUGUGUGUGUGUGUGUGUGUGUGUGUGUGUGUGUGUGUGUGUGUGUGUGUGUGUGUGUGUGUGUGUGUGUGUGUGUGUUAGUGUUUGAAAGACAGUGUGUGAACUAGGAAGAGAGGAACAAAGAUCGAAAAGAAAAGAGUGCGUGUGAAAGAGAGCAAGACGGGGUGAGUUAGGGAGAGAGAGAAAGAGGAGGGGAGAUAUAUUUGUCUGCCUAUAAAGCACAGCACGCUUCUCAUUUUGAUUUCUGGACCUGUCGAGUAAAGUUUAGCAGAAGUGAAUCCUGACUGUAAGAAAUGAUCACAAUACACCAAUAAAA
Seriola dumerili (greater amberjack) is the source of this 2335-nucleotide long non-coding RNA. RefSeq lists it as uncharacterized. The transcript is spliced from 5 exons. Lineage: Eukaryota; Metazoa; Chordata; Actinopteri; Carangiformes; Carangidae. The record is from RefSeq and is a predicted model, not a curated record.